Long non-coding RNA from Pristis pectinata (smalltooth sawfish), 1817 nucleotides. RefSeq lists it as uncharacterized. The record is from RefSeq and is a predicted model, not a curated record. Lineage: Eukaryota; Metazoa; Chordata; Chondrichthyes; Rhinopristiformes; Pristidae. The transcript is spliced from 5 exons.
GUGGCGUCUUAACAUGUCCAGGACGUGCCUUCCAAUCUUUGCUUCAUUAACGCGCUGCCAGCACUUGGGAGGAAUAUACAAAGCUAUGAUGCAGAAAUGAACGCGGGCGCAAUGUAGACGCUCGUUCUGUUCGGCCGGCCGAGGUUUCGGAGAACAUCUAUCGCGCCACGUCUUUCCAUGCAGAACCGGGAGGACAUGUUGGUCCAUAUUUCAUUUCUAGCCAAAUGAGUGGGGAGUACAAGGCGUGAAGGGGAAAAAAUCCGAUCCCGCAGAGAUUGAACAAUGGGCAUCAAUUCAGCCGGACAAUGAAUUGCGAGCGGGCUGCUUGGGUUUCAAGACACGUCCACAGCAGUUUGGAUUCCUGCGCGGACUCCCAGAGACCCGGCACAAGUUGUGUGAGAAAAUGAGAGGCGACCGAGCAGGGGUGGGUGGCGUGGGUGAGGGAGAGAGUUACGUCUCUUGUCCACUUUGUGCCCCCACGUUCGGUGUCAGUCGAAUUUGGAGACGAAAAGAGCCGAAAACAAGAUAAACUACACCACCUGUCACGGGAGAAACUCGCCGACUCGAUCAAGGAUUUCAUGUCGUUACUUAAUUCAAACUUUAAUGCAAUUCCUGACCUACGAAGAACGGGAACUCGUGGCCGUAAAUUAACAUUCGUCAAAAUCAUAGGAACAUUCAGAUAAUGGUGUUGAGGAGAACGUCUAUGAAAUCUGUGUGUUAUCCGGCGAAAUUUGGAGUGUGUAUGUGAGGGGCUGUGUUAGUUACACGAUCACCGUCGUCACAUUCGGACUGGCAAAAUCUUUCAACCAGCCAAACGUCAUUCUAUCCAAGGUCUCUUCUGAAAUGAAAAUCUCCAUUACCCCUGCAGAAGAUGCACAAGAUCCAAGCGGAAUGACACGCUGCCUGUGCACGAUUCUUGAAAGCAGGUCCUGGCUCUGUUGCUGAUGGUUCUCCAACCACUCCCAGUGCCCGACCCAGCCGCCGUGUCUUCAGAGUGAGACGCCCAGCUUCUUCCAGGAGCUGUGUUGAGUCACCGGGAGAAGAAGCCCUCAGCCUGUCCAGCAACAUGGCCCAGCUUCCCCCCUUCAGCUGUAAACACUCUGAGCCAUCAUAAGGUGUGACGCGGCAAGGGAACGGCUACCGUGGGUAAGCGAUCUCACCCAGUAGAUGAGAUCUCAAAGCCUCUCUGAAGAAAUGCAACGUCCCCACUAAUCCUGGGAAUCCCUGGCUCACGACCACUCGGAGUGGAGGAGGAACAUUUGGGAUGGGAUUGGGGACCUCACAUCCCUGCUCAGGAACUCACUGAAGCCACAAGUAAGCAGUGGAAGGAAUGGACCAACUCACAAAGUGCCGACCACCCCAGUGGUCACCACCACCUCAUCUGUGGAAGGGUCUGAGGUUCCAACACUGGCCUCAGCCCCUCUGAACCCAGAGGACCAGAGUGGAAGCAUCAUCCUCAAUCCUGUGGGACUGCCUCAGGAGAGAAGAAGAUACAAGACCUGUAUUUCUGAAUGUAAAACCUAUUGUCAAUGGAUUCAGAGUAACCUCGAUAUGUACAGCCCUCUGCUCAAUAUGUGUCAUUAAAUCUCAAUGAAUAAAAUGUUCAUGUCUCUGCCCUAAAGCCCGCCAGUGUGUCAGACACAAACACUGACACUACCUGUCUCCUGCUCCUCUCCAUACGUGGGUCUGGGAGUUACAACACACCACACCAGACACAUUAAAUAAUCACUGACACACGGAUCACCAUCAUGCUCUGUGCUCACCUCCACACAUGUCAGCACUGCCCAUGGGUCAGGGUGCUCGGGAGGAGGGAGGGC